UCAGAAAAACCUGGAAAAAAUUACAUGAACUGAUGCAAAGUGAAGUGAGCAGAACCAGGAAAACACUGUACACAGUGAUAGAAAUAUCAACCUUGAAUGACUUCGUUCUGCUUAGCAAGACAAUGAUCCAAGACACUUCUGAAGGACUCAUGAUGAAAAAUGCUGUCUACCUCCAGAGCCAAAACUGGUGGCGUUUGAGAGCAGAUUCAAACAGCCAGAGGCUUUGCCAUGGUGCUUGCUCUCAAAUCAACAGCAAUGACAGUGCCAUCUCUCAAUCUAUUUUUCAAUGGCUUCUCAAGUGUUUGAAAAAGUGAAGUCUACUCUCUGUUAGCAGACAAACCCAUAAACUACAAUCCUUUUCCAUUCGCAGAGUCUCCUUUAUGUAUAUGCAUUUUUGAGGAGUACCUCUUAACUCUGUUUAAUUUCUCUUCAUCAUUGCCUUCAUCGGAGAUGCACACCCACUCAUCGAAGAGAUCAGCUGAGAAAACACUUUGGGGGAAUAUUUCGAAGAAAAUCCUUUAUCAGAGCAAAGGAGAAAACAAAAAUGCUUUUAGGCAUCGUGUUUAUGACAGUACAUAAAUAUAAUAAAAUUUUUAAACAAC
Phascolarctos cinereus (koala) is the source of this 602-nucleotide long non-coding RNA. RefSeq lists it as uncharacterized. The record is from RefSeq and is a predicted model, not a curated record. Lineage: Eukaryota; Metazoa; Chordata; Mammalia; Diprotodontia; Phascolarctidae.